This 497-nucleotide ribosomal RNA is filed under the name uncultured bacterium. RNAcentral's name for it is "partial 16S ribosomal RNA". It matches the Rfam family "Bacterial small subunit ribosomal RNA", at positions 28 to 507 of the family's 1533-position model. The record is from RNAcentral.
GAUGAACGCUGGCGGCGUGCCUAAUACAUGCAAGUCGAGCGAACGGACGAGAAGCUUGCUUCUCUGAUGUUAGCGGCGGACGGGUGAGUAACACGUGGAUAACCUACCUAUAAGACUGGGAUAACUUCGGGAAACCGUAGCUAAUACCGGAUAAUAUUUUGAACCGCAUGGUUCAAAAGUGAAAGACGGUCUUGCUGUCCCUUAUAGAUGGAUCCGCGCUGCAUUAGCUAGUUGGUAAGGUAACGGCUUACCAAGGCAACGAUGCAUAGCCGACCUGAGAGGGGGACCGGCAACACUGGAACGGAGAAACGGUCCAGACUCCUACGGGAGGAAGCAGUAGGGAAUCUUCGGCAAUGGGCGAAAGCCUGACGGAGCAACGCCGCGUGAGUGAUGAAGGUCUUCGGAUCGUAAAACUCUGUGAUUAGGGAAGAACAUAUGUGUAAGUAACUGUGCACAUCUUGACGGUACCUAAUCAGAAAGCCACGGCUAACUACGUG